This 571-nucleotide ribosomal RNA is filed under the name uncultured marine eukaryote. RNAcentral's name for it is "bacterial SSU rRNA". It matches the Rfam family "Eukaryotic small subunit ribosomal RNA", at positions 625 to 1073 of the family's 1831-position model. The record is from RNAcentral.
AAAGCUCGUAGUUGGAUUCAGAGGUGGGGUUGUGGGUCGGGUGUGGCCCGGCAGCUUGUCUCCGUGUGCCGCUCCCAAUCAACCCGCGUUUGCCCCAGCCUCCUAUCGCACGGAAACGGAGUCCUGCUGGGGUCUCCUUAACUGGGGGUUCCAGCGCUUCCGCGCACAACGUGCGCUUACGGACCGUCCGUGGACGUUACUGUGAACAAAACAGCGUGUUCAAAGCAAGUGGCUUGCCUGCCCUGCAUGUUAAAGCAUGGAAUAACAAGGCAUCGACCACUCGGCGGUGCUUUUGUUGGUCUUUCCCUCCCGGUGGRAAUGCGCAGGCGUGCACACUGCCGGCCUUCUGGCCGGUCUGGGUGCCGUCUCUUCGAGAUCAAUAGGGGCAAACGGGGAGAUACCUAUUGUGGGGAGAGCGGUGAAAUGCGAUGACCCCCAUAAGAGGAACUUCAGCGAAAGCAGUUCUCAAGACUGCCUUCGUUAAUCAAGAACGAGACUGUGGGGAUCAAAGAUGAUCAGAUACCGUCGUAGUCCACUAGCGUAAACGAUGCCGACUCAUCAUUGGGGGGCA